UUAGUCUAUAAUAUUAUAAACAACAUGGUUUUCUUCGAAGCUAGAAGCCUUACUUGCAUUUACAACUAUUUCGUAUAUGAAAGUUCUCUAUGUUUAUUGCAGGACAAAUAAUUUACACAUAAGAAUAGAGCAUGCGAUCACACCCGUUACUUGACGCAUUAUUUAAGCAGUUGAAACCUGAUGGUAAAUUGAAAGUAGAUAAAUACAGUAUGAAUUUUACCAGAUUUAUUCCUGGAUAUAUCUUUGUGAGAGCAGCUGGCAUAUCAGGUGUCUUGGCUGUUGCUAUGGGAACAUAUGGCAUUUACAUAUUCAAAGCAAAAGUAGAAAAUGAUGAGUUACCUGUUGCUAGUACAGGUAAAAAAGGAGAGAUUAGAAAAGGACGAGUAGUUGAUGUUGAUCUCAUGAAACGGAUGUAUAUUUAUGACCUUGGAUUCAAACUUCAUCUUUUUCACACCGUAGCCUUAUUAGCUAUACCAUUAACCAGAAUGCCUUAUUUAGUUGGAUCGUUGAUGUUAACAGGGUUGGUAUUACUGUCAGGUAGUUGUUAUUAUGAAGGUCUUUAUUAUGUACGAAUCAAGUCACGACAUUCAAAGUUUUUAGCCACCGCAAUGUACAGUGGUGGACUAUUCUUGUUGGCUUCAUGGUUAACCAUGGUGAUGUAAAAAUCUGGGACCUAAUUCACAAAAAACUUACACUAAAAUAUUUAAAAAAACAAAGUCAUUUCAUUGGGUGAGAGUUAAAAUUAUACAACAAAUUGUAGGUCUUAGCCAAUGAAAGGGCUGGAUUCUUAAAAUGUUUGUGAAUAAGGCACUGGCUGGAGAGUACUUGUGUAUACCCUACCUACCUCAUACAAUGAACUGAAAGAAAAUAAGAUCUCAGUCAUAUACAGAUUCGAGACCAAUGUACAAUAAUUAUGGUUAAAAUACAGAUGUGACGUCAUCCUUUGAUGUUGGUGUACCAUCAUUUAACAAUAAUAGUACAGGCAACAUGAAUAUCGUAUUGCAUUUAUGCCCGAUGAAGGAUUUAUAGUACUCAAAUGGCAUUUCGUUGAAAUGCACUUGCUGGAUAGUGUAACUUUAUUUUAAGUUGUUUAAAGAUCUCAAGAAAGACAUAAUAUAAUAUAUUGAUACACAACAACGUCCUCGUGCAGUUUCAAUAUAUUUCUAAAUGUCUCACUCUAGAUCAUUAAACUACACUAAAGCACCAAAUACACAUACAGUCAAAAGAGAGAGAGAGAGUUUAAUGUCCACUCGACUAACAUAUUUCAAUAAUUCGCUUGCGAGUAGGGGUCUUUAGCAGUGGGAGGAACCCUGAGGACAGAUGCCACUACUCCUUGUCACAUUCACCCGGGGAUUCGAAACCACGCCAGUUGACUCAAUGUCAGACCUUCUGAUACAGCGCGCACAUGCUACCCCCCCCCCCCCACACACACACACACACAUACAGUCAAAAGUGAAUAAACAGGUACUCGAUGAGAAUGCACCACUGAUUUGACUGUAAGGUAUACUGCAGAUUCAAGUUCCACCUUAUUGUUGUUUGCAAGAGAUUCCUUUAUCUAUCAAAUGACUUUUAAAGACUAUGAUUCAUAAAAAAAAAAAAGAAUUAAAUACAGUUUAUUUUAUAUUUUUUAUUAUUUGUUAAUUAAUAUCAAGAUAAUUAGUUACUUGAAGGGGCGAUAUUAAUAAUAAUUUGAUAUAAUUCUGUCAAUAUAGAGGUUUUAUACACCUAAAACUUGUAUUACAAAACAAAAAAUCACAUCAAUCAGAUAAUACAAAAAGCUUAAAGGACAAUAUUAGUGUUCAUUAAUUUUAUAUAUGUGACAGAACUAGUUAAACACAUUACAAAGAUAAUUGGGCUGCCUGAAUAAAUUGUAACUAUCGUUUAAAAUUCAAGUAGAGAAUGAUUAAAAAAUUAGGUGACACAAGGUUUGCUUUUUCCAUCUUUCUCACUUUUUCUGAUCUCUCGGCAGUCAGUUCUUUUGAUAUCCGCAAACAUCUCUUCAUCUUUCCUGGAUUUGUCAGUGAGCUGAAAGUCGUCUUUUCAGUUGUUACAAUAACUGCUUUGCUUUAUUGUGUCACUCUGGAUUCUGGAUUCUUUAAAUCAUUAUUACAGAUCACCAAUAGCACCUAUCUCUAUGUUAAAAUAAAAUUUGGAAUGUGUUUAACCAUAUCUAUCACUUAUAUAAAAUUGGUAGACACCAACAUUGUCCUUUAAAUAAUACAGUCAUGUAUUUGUUAGACAGAAACAUAUAGUCUACACCUUCUGUUAUCGCCACUAUGAGAUAAAUGACUAUCUCUAGAGCACAGAUAACCAUACAAUAACAAUGUGACUAUGCAUCUUUCUUCAACAUUUUACAACAAUUCUCCCAGAUCAAUUAAAAAUAGCAGAUUUUACAGAUAUCUGAUAUGUUCAUCUGGUGGAAUAUUCUAUUAUUACUGCCAUCGUUUACAUUCUAAUGAAAAGUUAUAUUUUAAUCAGAAAGUAUUGAACUUCAAUACUGAUGGACGUCUGGAAUAAGUUAAUAAGUAUAGAGCAGUUCAAAGUAUUAUUAUUGAGUCGCGUUUUGUAAAUAUUUAAUAUUUCCAUAAGAAUUUGAAUACAAUAUGUGAUUAAAGAUUUAUAUCUGAAAAUAUCACAUAUCUUUAAUACUGGGACAUGUUAUUUUUUUUUUUUAAAAUAAAGUACAAAAUCAGUUUUAUUAAUAUUUCACAUGGUAAAGUUAUUAGUUCACAGGGUGAGGUUAAUUAAUGUUUCACAUGGUAGGUUAAUUAAUGUUCACAUUGUUAGUUUAAUUAAUAUUUCACAUGGUAAAGUUAAUUAAUAUUUAAUAUGGUAGUUUAUAUUUUAGGUGGUAAGGUUAAUUAAUAUUUCACAUGAUAGUUUAAUUAAUAUUUCACAUGGUAAGGUUAAUUAAUAUUUCACAUGGUAGGUUAAUAUUUCACAUGGUAGGUUAAUAUUUCACAUAAUAAGCUUAAUUAAUAUUUCACAUGGUAGCUAGGUUAAUCAAUAUUUCACAUGGUAGCUAGGUUAAUCAAUAUUUCACAUGGUAGCUAGGUUAAUC
Molecule: long non-coding RNA, 3061 nt
Organism: Patella vulgata (common limpet)
Lineage: Eukaryota; Metazoa; Mollusca; Gastropoda; Patellidae
Exons: 5
Source: RefSeq, a predicted model, not a curated record